This is a small nuclear RNA of Molossus molossus (Pallas's mastiff bat), 106 nucleotides long. Lineage: Eukaryota; Metazoa; Chordata; Mammalia; Chiroptera; Molossidae. The record is from RefSeq and is a predicted model, not a curated record.
GUGUUCACCUUGGCAGCACAUAUACUAAAAAUUUGAAACGGCGCAGAGAUUAGCACGGCCCCUGUGAAAGCAUGACAAGCAAAUUGGUGAAGCGUUUCAUGUUUUA